UAGGGAAUCUUCGGCAAUGGGGGGAACCCUGACCGAGCAACGCCGCGUGAGUGAAGAAGGUUUUCGGCUCGUAAAGCUCUGUUGUUAAGGAAGAACGAGUGUGAGAAUGGAAAGUUCAUACUGUGACGGUACUUAACCAGAAAGGGACGGCUAACUACGUGCCAGCAGCCGCGGUAAUACGUAGGUCCCGAGCGUUGUCCGGAUUUAUUGGGCGUAAAGCGAGCGCAGGCGGUUAGAUAAGUCUGAAGUUAAAGGCAGUGGCUCAACCAUUGUAGGCUUUGGAAACUGUUUAACUUGAGUGCAGAAGGGGAGAGUGGAAUUCCAUGUGUAGCGGUGAAAUGCGUAGAUAUAUGGGGGAACACCGGUGGCGAAAGCGGCUCUCUGGUCUGUAACUGACGCUGAGGCUCGAAAGCGUGGGGAGCGAACAGG
RNAcentral lists this ribosomal RNA (429 nucleotides) under Bacteroidota bacterium. RNAcentral describes it as "Bacteroidetes bacterium partial 16S ribosomal RNA". It matches the Rfam family "Bacterial small subunit ribosomal RNA", at positions 355 to 776 of the family's 1533-position model. Lineage: Bacteria; Pseudomonadati; Bacteroidota. The record is from RNAcentral.